GUCUGCUGCACGUCGAGCCCGCGCCACCGCGCCAGCAGCCGCCACAAGAGGUUCAUUGAUUCGGCCGCGUGACGUCAAGAAUGUCGCUUGUUGUCGCGGUGUCUGUCGCAUUCCGACACUUAUUUCUAUUAGUUUUAGGGUUCAUUUUGCCGGGCACACGGCCUUUUGUUACAGCUUACGCUUUCUGUGCAGUGUUGCCAGCUGACUCCUCUUCAUGUAUCACAGUGUUUUCACUUUUUGCCAUUUAAAAUUAUUAAUACAAGGAAUAUUAAAUUUGUUUAAGUUGAACUGACCCAAAAAAAAAUUAUUAACUCCAUUUUUUUUUCGAUUGAAAUUUUGGGUAAUUCUUUAAAAUUAUUUGUUAACUGGUAACACUGAACUCAGCCGAUUGGUGAAAACGCCAUCUUGUAUUGAAUCUCUAUGAUUUUGCAUUUUUUUUUAUUAAGAUAUAUAGCGGUGUUGAAAUUUUAUUCGAUUUUAUAUAUAGGAAAACUUUGUCUUUCUAUAUUGUUGACUAAUUUUAGACUUUGGGGCGAUGGGAAUAUGGACGCUUUUUAACCGUUGAGGCUAUUUGUUUUUAGUUUGCUCGUUUUAAUACGCUUUGGCCCGGUACUGUGAUUGUAAUUGGAUAUUUGAAAACUAACAGAGUUGUAUAUUAAAAGUUUUUUUCUCUAGUCUAUUAGAUGUUAUUAGAGAUGCAUAAUAUAACUUUGUUUCAUGUUUUUAAUAGAUAUUUUAUAUAUUCUAUGCAUUCUUCCAUAUUGUUCACUAUAUUUUAGUGGUUUUGUAGUAAAGUCUUGAAUAUUAAAAAAAACUUUUAAGGUGCUUUUGAGCAUUGGAGUCCAAAUCGUAUUUAGAAAUUGUUGUGGAUUUGAUUAGUAUAUAAGAUUUAUUUAUUUUUCUUUUUGUAAAAAAAAAGUAGUUUGGACUCCGGUGGCCUUUCUCGUUGUAUAUUUGUGCCAACUCCGAAUAUGGAUUAAAAUAGAGUAUAGUUUUGUAGUGUUGGCAAUUAUUGAUUUAAAUAUACGCAGAGGUUGACAAAUGUAUGUCUGUCUCUCUCCCUCCUGUUAGUAUUCAUAUCUUUGUCCUUUUCACUUGACCAUUCGUUGAACGAGUUGGUGGAAUGGAAUGUGUCAAUGACUUGUUAAAUUAUUUUAAUGCCUUGGCUCUUGUUUUUACUCUUCAUUUAAUUCUUCUCUCUCUGUCUCUUUGUCUAAUUGUCUAUGGAAUGUCUACAGUUUUGUCUUUGAUUCUGUCUUAGUCAGAUUAAUUUUCUUGGCCAUUUCAAAACUAUUUUUCUGAGCCUUUGUGUUUAAUUUAAUUUUAUAAAGGGUUUUAAGAUUUUUUUUUUUAAAUUUAGUAUAGAAACUUAUGCGCCAUUUUUUAUUGUAGAGAACAAUAUUAGGUUGUGAUGAAAAGAAACACUUUAUAGUAACAAUAUAUAUAUAUGUUAUUUUAAGAUGUAGGGCGCCAUUUAAAAAAAAUUAGACUGCAAUUGAAUUUUGUAGAAUUUAUUAAAGUGGGAGAGAGACGACAAAUGUUGACGCCAUCUUGCGUAUAUUUAAGUAUUUGUUUAAUAAAUUUUAGAGCUAACUUAAACAUAUCGAAUGUGUGAACGAACGUAUAGAUAUUUUUAUUAAAAGCCUAUUUGAGAUUUAUGUGAAAUUUAUUUUUUCAGUAUUAAAAUUAGUUAAGACUCGAAAAAUGAUUUUGCAUAAGAUUAAAUUGUUUAAAAUAAAACUAAUGUUAUGUGUUCGCGAAAUGGAUUUUGAAAGAAAUUACUUUGGAAUCUUUUCGUGGAUGCAAUAUAAAUUUUUAUACAUAGAGAUAUUUUUCGAAAUUUUUCCGUUGAAUAUUUGCAAUAUAUUUUUAAUAAAUACGAUUUACUGUAAGCUUUAUUUUUCAUCACCGUCUAUUUACGCACAUUUAAAAUUAUAUAUAAACUUUGCGUUUAAACUUAACACUUACGUUGGUAUGGCAAGCGUGGAUGAGCGAUUUUUUUUUGGUUUUGUAUUUUUUUUUUUAAAUAAAUAUAUUUAACACUUU
Papilio xuthus (Asian swallowtail) is the source of this 2046-nucleotide long non-coding RNA. RefSeq lists it as uncharacterized. The transcript has 2 exons. The record is from RefSeq and is a predicted model, not a curated record. NCBI's taxonomy places the organism in Eukaryota, Metazoa, Arthropoda, Insecta, Lepidoptera, Papilionidae.